CCUACGGGUGGCAGCAGUCGAGAAUCAUUCACAAUGGGGGAAACCCUGAUGGUGCGACGCCGCGUGGGGGAAUGAAGGUCUUCGGAUUGUAAACCCCUGUCAUGUGGGAGCAAAUUAAAAAGAUAGUACCACAAGAGGAAGAGACGGCUAACUCUGUGCCAGCAGCCGCGGUACUACAGAGGUCUCAAGCGUUGUUCGGAAUCACUGGGCGUAAAGCGUGCGUAGGCUGUUUCGUAAGUCGCGUGUGAAAGGCGCGGGCUCAACCCGCGGACGGCACAUGAUACUGCGAGACUAGAGUAAUGGAGGGGGAACCGGAAUUCUCGGUGUAGCAGUGAAAUGCGUAGAUAUAGAGAGGAACACUCGUGGCGAAGGCGGGUUCCUGGACAUUAACUGACGCUGAGGCACGAAGGCCAGGGGAGCGAAAGGGAUUAGAUACCCCAGUAGUC
Molecule: ribosomal RNA, 446 nt
Filed under: uncultured bacterium
Lineage: Bacteria
Description: partial 16S ribosomal RNA
Rfam family: Bacterial small subunit ribosomal RNA
Source: RNAcentral